RNAcentral lists this transfer RNA (71 nucleotides) under Magnaporthiopsis poae ATCC 64411. Its description in RNAcentral is "Magnaporthe poae ATCC 64411 tRNA". It matches the Rfam family "tRNA". From Rfam's summary of the family: Transfer RNA (tRNA) molecules are approximately 80 nucleotides in length. Their secondary structure includes four short double-helical elements and three loops (D, anti-codon, and T loops). The record is from Rfam by way of RNAcentral. Lineage: Eukaryota; Fungi; Ascomycota; Sordariomycetes; Magnaporthales; Magnaporthaceae.
AAUUCUUUAGUUUAAGGGUAAAACGCAUUUUUGAUAAGAAUGAUAUUCAAGUUCGAGUCUUGGAAGAAUUA